Molecule: long non-coding RNA, 330 nt
Filed under: Hordeum vulgare
Lineage: Eukaryota; Viridiplantae; Streptophyta; Magnoliopsida; Poales; Poaceae
Description: long non-coding RNA (HVUL_LNC013567)
Source: RNAcentral
ACGGUGAAGAUAUGGUUCGCGGCGCGGCGAGGGCCGCCGCUGGUGUCGGCGGUGGGCCUCCACCUCGACCCCUACGCAACCGACGUGAUGUGACGGGUGUGCGACAGUAAUUUGUUUGUUGUUGCGUCGUCUGUCAGUUCGGCCUCAUGUCUUUGACGGUGACACAAAUCUGCGUCCUUCGUGUCCUUUCGAAUGGAUACGAUCAAAAUUCACAACUCAAAAUGUUUUUUUUUACCCUCUUUCUUUCGAACGUCACUUAAGAAGAAGUGGCAACUAAGCAUGUUUUGACUCGUAAUUUACAUUAUGAAAGCAAAAAUGUUACACAUACAA